Molecule: ribosomal RNA, 1293 nt
Filed under: Triticum aestivum (bread wheat)
Lineage: Eukaryota; Viridiplantae; Streptophyta; Magnoliopsida; Poales; Poaceae
Description: partial small subunit ribosomal RNA
Source: RNAcentral
AUGUUGGAGAAAGACAGGAUAUCCUAUUUCUACGAUGGGGAUGUUGGCAAUGUGUACUUUGGGCCAAAUCAUCCGAUGAAACCGCAUCGCCUUUGCAUGACACAUCAUCUCGUGUUAUCAUAUGACCUUCACAAGAAAAUGGAGAUAUAUAGACCCCACAAAGCAUAUCCAACAGAGCUUGCGCAGUUCCAUUCUGCUGAUUAUGUGGAAUUCUUGCACCGAAUAACUCCUGAUACCCAGCACUUGUAUGCAAAUGAAUUAACUAGAUACAACCUUGGAGAGGACUGCCCGGUCUUUGAUGAUUUGUUUGAGUUCUGCCAAAUCUAUGCUGGAGGAACUCUAGAUGCGGCUCGAAGACUAAAUCAUAAAACAUGUGAUAUUGCUAUUAAUUGGGCUGGUGGGCUGCAUCAUGCAAAGAAGUGUGAGGCGUCAGGCUUCUGCUACAUUAAUGACCUGGUUUUGGGAAUUCUGGAGCUUCUCAAGUAUCAUGCUAGGGUCCUCUAUAUUGACAUUGAUGUCCAUCAUGGAGAUGGAGUUGAAGAAGCCUUCUAUUUCACUGACAGGGUAAUGACUGUAAGUUUCCACAAGUAUGGUGACAUGUUCUUUCCUGGCACAGGUGAUAUUAAGGAUAUGGGAGACAGGGAAGGAAAAUAUUAUGCAAUCAACAUCCCACUUAAAGAUGGCAUAGAUGACAUCAGUUUUACUCGGCUUUUUAAAACGAUUAUUGCCAAAGUUGUUGAGACAUAUCUGCCAGGUGCUAUUGUUCUUCAAUGUGGGGCUGAUUCAUUGGCGCGAGACCGCCUAGGGUGUUUCAAUCUUUCAAUAGAAGGCCAUGCUGAAUGUGUAAAGUUUGUUAAGAAAUUUAAAAUCCCGCUGCUGGUGACAGGAGGUGGUGGGUACACCAAAGAGAAUGUAGCACGCUGUUGGGCUGUUGAAACUGGGGUUCUUCUAGACACAGAACUCCCAAAUGAGAUCCCUGACAAUGAAUACAUUGAGUACUUCGGUCCAGAUUAUACAUUGAAAGUGCCAAAUCUGAACAUGGACAACUUGAAUAGUAAGACGUAUCUCAGUUCAAUCAAAGUGCAAGUAAUGGAGAGUUUGCGGGCCAUACAACAUGCACCUGGCGUUCAGAUGCAAGAGGUUCCACCCGAUUUCUAUGUCCCGGAUUUUGAUGAAGACGAGCUGGAUCCUGAUGAACGUGUUGAUCAGCAUACCCAAGACAAGCAGGUUCAUCGUGACGACGAGUACUAUGAAGGCGACAAUGACAAUGAUCAUGAUGACGGCGGACAUUGA